AUGGAUUCGGGUUGGAAAUCCAAUGGCAACGAUGAAGAGCCAACGGCAACGCCUACUAAAGGAAUCGAAGGAAUCAGAUCUACAAUUAAUCCAGGAAACCUUCCCUGCCCAGUGGUGUGUGCAACAGGCGAGCAAGUAGGAGUGUCUGGUUCCAAGAGAAAGCGUCGGAAGCAUUACGUUUACCUUGUUUUUGAUGACUGGUCGUACGGAUAUAGCAUCCACAAGGUAAACUUGUUUCCCUGCUCUCGCCGACGUAAGCAGACUGCAUUCUCAGCACCAGCCGAUGUGCCGUGCCUGCCUCCGGCACUCUUCCGCUUGGAGGCAGCGCAUGGGUCGCCAGAGUACAUCGCCUCAGCCUUUGGCACCAGGAUCUUGGCGAUGCAUACCAGGGAUCCCGGAGGCAAGAGAUUGUUGUCCGGGACCUUCGUCCCCAUGUUGGACGUCUCCUCGCUGAGCAUGACCUUUUGCCCUGGCCAGGAAUAUCCGAUUAAUCCCAUCUAUCUCUCCGUCGGCAAUACUAGGCUAUUCUGUCUCAGCGAAGCCUCCUUCGAGAUGCUCCACUGGGAACCUCUCUGCCCCCCGCCGCUGGGUCGACGUCGCAGCAAGGAGUGGUCGUGGCAACGGCUUGAGAAACCGCCAUUCAAGAGUUAUAACGUCACGUCCUACGCUGUGCAUCCCCAGAGAUGUACCAUCUUCGUCAGCACCAAGAUGAACGACAUUGAGGCCACCUUUUCCUUUGACAUGGAAAAGCAAAAGUGGGAACAACUUGGCAGUUGGGCGCUGCCCUUCGCAGGCCGUGGUCACUUUGAUCCGUACCUCAAUGCCUUUGUUGGGCUCUCCAAAGAUUCUGACACCCUUGGCCAAGUCUACUCCUGCUGCUUGUCCAGCUCCAGCACUGGCCACGGCCUUGAGUGGAAGCUCGGCAAGGAGAGGCUGUUCAGUCAGGACCCAGCUGAGAGGCAUGUAGGCGCCACCCUAGUCUACGUGGGCCAGAGCAAAUUCUGCUUAGUGCAGUGCGUCUCCAUUGAGGAUGAAAGCGAUGGUCCGAAGCUUAAGGAAGAGGGAAAUGUGGGCGGACCUGUUUACCGUACCGAGGACCGGGGUGCUGAUCUGAAGCUCAAUGAAGGAGAUGUUCAGGAGCUCAAGGAAGAGGGAGAUGUUCAGGAGCUCAAGGAAGAGGGAGAUGUGGAUGGUCCCGGUUACUCUAUUGAGGACGAGGGAUAUGAUCAGGAGCUCAUGGACGAGGGAUAUGAUCAGGAGCUCAUGGAAGAGCGAUAUGUACCUUGUUGCUGUCUGUAUCGUUUGACCACAUUUUCUCUCAGCUAUGACAUCAAAGGAGACCUGACGACUGGCAAUAGUUGUCGGGUGCUAUACUAUAAAGUGCCUGAAGCGAUCACUUCGUCAUUCCUCGUUGAAGAUCCUGUCGCAUUUUGCAUGUAA
This 1440-nucleotide ribosomal RNA is filed under the name Triticum aestivum (bread wheat). RNAcentral's name for it is "partial small subunit ribosomal RNA". The record is from RNAcentral. Lineage: Eukaryota; Viridiplantae; Streptophyta; Magnoliopsida; Poales; Poaceae.